Molecule: ribosomal RNA, 570 nt
Filed under: uncultured Acidobacteriota bacterium
Lineage: Bacteria; Pseudomonadati; Acidobacteriota
Description: SSU rRNA
Rfam family: Bacterial small subunit ribosomal RNA
Source: RNAcentral
CAGCUAGUUGGUAGGGUAAGAGCCUACCAAGGCAGAGAUCGGUAGCCGGCCUGAGAGGGCACACGGCCACACUGGCACUGAAACACGGGCCAGACUCCUACGGGAGGCAGCAGUGGGGAAUCUUGCACAAUGGGGGAAACCCUGAUGCAGCGACGCCGCGUGAGCGAUGAAGCCCUUCGGGGUGUAAAGCUCUUUCGUCAGGGAAGAUAGUGACGGUACCUGGAGGAGCAGCUGCGGCUAACUACGUGCCAGCAGCCGCGGUAAUACGUAGGCAGCAAGCGUUGUUCGGAGUUACUGGGCGUAAAGGGUGUGUAGGCGGUUCUUUAAGUUUGCUGUGAAAUCUCCCGGCUUAACCGGGAGGGUGCGGUGAAUACUGAGGGACUAGAGUACGGGAGAGGAAAGUGGAAUUCCUGGUGUAGCGGUGAAAUGCGUAGAUAUCAGGAGGAACACCGGUGGUGUAGACGGCUUUCUGGACCGUAACUGACGCUGAGACACGAAAGCGUGGGUAGCAAACAGGAUUAGAUACCCUGGUAGUCCACGCCCUAAACGAUGCAUAUUUGGUGUGGGGCA